RNAcentral lists this ribosomal RNA (486 nucleotides) under uncultured bacterium. RNAcentral's name for it is "partial 16S ribosomal RNA". It matches the Rfam family "Bacterial small subunit ribosomal RNA", at positions 29 to 507 of the family's 1533-position model. The record is from RNAcentral.
AUUGAACGCUGGCGGCAUGCUUUACACAUGCAAGUCGAGCGGCAGCGCGGGGGCAACCCUGGCGGCGAGCGGCGAACGGGUGAGUAAUGCAUCGGAACGUAUCCUCGAGUGGGGGAUAACCCAGCGAAAGUUGGGCUAAUACCGCAUGAGCUCUGAGGAGGAAAGCGGGGGACCUGCGAGGGCCUCGCGCUGGAGGAGCGGCCGAUGUCCGAUUAGCUAGUUGGUGGGGUAAAGGCUUACCAAGGCGUCGAUCGGUAGCUGGUCUGAGAGGAUGAUCAGCCACACUGGGACUGAGACACGGCCCAGACUCCUACGGGAGGCAGCAGUGGGGAAUUUUGGACAAUGGGGGCAACCCUGAUCCAGCCAUGCCGCGUGAGUGAAGAAGGCCUUCGGGUUGUAAAGCUCUUUCGGACGGAACGAAAUGGGCGGGACUAAUACUCCUGUCUGAUGACGGUACCGUAAGAAGAAGCACCGGCUAACUACGUG